RNAcentral lists this ribosomal RNA (1101 nucleotides) under uncultured Nitrosospira sp. RNAcentral's name for it is "bacterial SSU rRNA". It matches the Rfam family "Bacterial small subunit ribosomal RNA", at positions 137 to 1235 of the family's 1533-position model. Lineage: Bacteria; Pseudomonadati; Pseudomonadota; Betaproteobacteria; Nitrosomonadales; Nitrosomonadaceae. The record is from RNAcentral.
UGGGGGAUAACGCACCGCAAGGGUGCUAAUACCGCAUAAUCUCUACGGAGAAAAGCAGGGGAUCGCAAGACCUUGCGCUUUAGGAGCGGCCGAAGACAGAAAAGCAAGAAGGUGAGGUAAAGGCUUACCAAGGCUUCGAUCAGACACUGGUCUGAGAGGACGACCAGCCACACUGGCACUGAGACACGGCCCAGACUCCUACGGGAGGCAGCAGUGGGGAAUUUUGGACAAUGGGGGAAACCCUGAUCCAGCCAUGCCGCGUGAGUGAAGAAGGCCUUCGGGUUGUAAAGCUCUUUCAGCCGGAACGAAACGGUCACGGUUAAUACCCGUGAUCACUGACGGUACCGGAAGAAGAAGCACCGGCUAACUACGUGCCAGCAGCCGCGGUAAUACGUAGGGUGCGAGCGUUAAUCGGAAUUACUGGGCGUAAAGCGUGCGCAGGCGGUUUUGUAAGUCAGAUGUGAAACCCCCGGGCUCAACCUGGGAACUGCGUUUGAAACUACAAGGCUAGAGUGUAGCAGAGGGGGGUGGAAUUCCACGUGUAGCAGUGAAAUGCGUAGAGAUGUGGAGGAACACCGAUGGCGAAGGCAGCCCCCUGGGUUAACACUGACGCUCAGGCACGAAAGCGUGGGGAGCAAACAGGAUUAGAUACCCUGGUAGUCCACGCCCUAAACGAUGUCAACUAGUUGUCGGGUCUUAACGGGCUUGGUAACGCAGCUAACGCGUGAAGUUGACCGCCUGGGGAGUACGGUCACAAGAUUAAAACUCAAAGGAAUUGACGGGGACCCGCACAAGCGGUGGAUUAUGUGGAUUAAUUCGAUGCAACGCGAAAAACCUUACCUACCCUUGACAUGUACCGAAGUCCGCUGAGAGGUGGAUGUGCCCGAAAGGGAACGGUAACACAGGUGCUGCAUGGCUGUCGUCAGCUCGUGUUGUGAGAUGUUGGGUUAAGUCCCGCAACGAGCGCAACCCAAUGUCAUUAAUUGCCAUCAUUCAGUUGGGCACUUUAAUGAGACUGCCGGUGACAAACCGGAGGAAGGUGGGGAUGACGUCAAGUCCUCAUGGCCCUUAUGGGUAGGCUUCACACGUAAUACAAUCGCG